UUCGCAAUGCCCGAAAGGGUGACGAUGCGACGCCGCGUGAGCGAAGAAGGCCCUAGGGUUGUAAAGCUCUGUCGAGGGUUAUGCAAUAUAGAUGGGUUAAUACCCCAUUUAUUUGACAAAAGCCCAAAAGGACGCCACGGCUAACUCUGUGCCAGCAGCCGCGGUAAUACAGAGGUGGCGAGCGUUGUUCGGUAUUAUUGGGCGUAAAGAGCACGUAGGUGGUUUUGUAAGUCAGGUGUGAAAGCCUUCUGUUCAAAGGAAGAACGGCAUCUGAAACUGCAGAUCUUGAGUGUAGGAGGGGAGAGUGGAACUUCUGGUGGAGCGGUGAAAUGCGUAGAUAUCAGAAGGAACGUCGGCGGCGAAAGCGACUCUCUGGCCUAUUACUGACACUGAGGUGCGAAAGUUAGGGGAGCAAACGGGAUUAGAUACCCCGGUAGUCCUAACCGUAAACGAUGGGCACUAAGUAGAGGGGUUUU
This 476-nucleotide ribosomal RNA is filed under the name uncultured anaerobic ammonium-oxidizing bacterium. RNAcentral describes it as "bacterial SSU rRNA". It matches the Rfam family "Bacterial small subunit ribosomal RNA", at positions 365 to 832 of the family's 1533-position model. The record is from RNAcentral.